AUAUGCACGCCAAUAAAAUCGCAGUGAGGAAACUAGAGUUAGGUGUAGCUGUGCAGGACACACAAUUUAACCACGUGCAGGGUGCAAGAUUAAAUAUAUACUAAUUUUGUUAGUUCAACUACACCGCGGCAAACCGAUUUGGACUCCAAAUGGAGCGCUGAGAAAAACGAUGAUGAUAAUAAUGGCGUGUCCAUUUGCAUGCUCUGCAACGACAGGCCGAAAAGUGGGGCACAUUUUUG
RNAcentral lists this long non-coding RNA (239 nucleotides) under Setaria italica (foxtail millet). RNAcentral describes it as "long non-coding RNA (SITA_LNC005700)". Lineage: Eukaryota; Viridiplantae; Streptophyta; Magnoliopsida; Poales; Poaceae. The record is from RNAcentral.